UCAAUAUGCCCAAAAAUUGACGAGAGCCUGAUUCCACCACGCUGCCUCACCCCUCACAUAUAUUAUGUAUUAAUUGAAUUCACUGGAGACUACUAGGACUUGUUGGCAUGAACGAAGCCAUGGAUAGAGAGGUAGAAACUACUAGGACUUGUUGGCAUGAACGAAGCCAUGGAUAGAGAGGAAGAAACUGCUGGGUCUACUGUGGUCUUUCUAUUUAAUGCUGCCUUGUAGUGGACUAAACCUCUGAUAGAUCCUUUGUCUAUUUUUUCACAUCUUGAUAUAAUAUGUUACAUAUAUGAUGUCUAUGUGUCCGUUUGUUUGUUUUUGAGCUCAUGUUUGUAUACAUAACACAGAUAUGUUUUUUUGUCUGAUUGCGUGUGACGUAUGGUGUGUGCACAGGAAUUUUUGCGCCUCUUGUCCAAGAUGUGUUUGAAGGAAGACAGACAUUUGAAAGGGAAAAAAGAAUUAUAAGAAAAUCUU
This is a long non-coding RNA of Aplysia californica (California sea hare), 480 nucleotides long. RefSeq lists it as uncharacterized. The transcript is spliced from 2 exons. The record is from RefSeq and is a predicted model, not a curated record. NCBI's taxonomy places the organism in Eukaryota, Metazoa, Mollusca, Gastropoda, Aplysiida, Aplysiidae.